UGGGGAAUUUUGGACAAUGGGGGCAACCCUGAUCCAGCAAUGCCGCGUGUGUGAAGAAGGCCUUCGGGUUGUAAAGCACUUUUGUCCGGGAAGAAAUCGCACCUGAUAAUACCGGGUGUGGAUGACGGUACCGGAAGAAUAAGGACCGGCUAACUACGUGCCAGCAGCCGCGGUAAUACGUAGGGUCCAAGCGUUAAUCGGAAUUACUGGGCGUAAAGCGUGCGCAGGCGGUUGUGCAAGACCGAUGUGAAAUCCCCGGGCUUAACCUGGGAAUUGCAUUGGUGACUGCACGGCUAGAGUGUGUCAGAGGGGGGUAGAAUUCCACGUGUAGCAGUGAAAUGCGUAGAGAUGUGGAGGAAUACCGAUGGCGAAGGCAGCCCCCUGGGAUAACACUGAAGCACAUGCACGAAAGCGUGGGGAGCAAACAGG
This 429-nucleotide ribosomal RNA is filed under the name Bacillota bacterium. RNAcentral describes it as "Firmicutes bacterium partial 16S ribosomal RNA". It matches the Rfam family "Bacterial small subunit ribosomal RNA", at positions 355 to 776 of the family's 1533-position model. Lineage: Bacteria; Bacillati; Bacillota. The record is from RNAcentral.